RNAcentral lists this ribosomal RNA (330 nucleotides) under uncultured eukaryote. RNAcentral's name for it is "partial 18S ribosomal RNA". It matches the Rfam family "Eukaryotic small subunit ribosomal RNA", at positions 1470 to 1796 of the family's 1831-position model. The record is from RNAcentral.
CCCUUAGAUGUUCUGGGUCGCACGCGCGCUACACUGAUGCAUUCAACGAGUCUAAAACCUGGUCUGAUAGGGCUGGGUAAUCUUUUGAAAGUGCAUCGUGAUUGGGAUAGAUGAUUGCAAUUCUUCAUCUUCAACGAGGAAUGCCUAGUAAACGCAAGUCAUCAGCUUGCAUUGAUUACGUCCCUGCCCUUUGUACACACCGCCCGUCGCUCCUACCGAUUGAAUGAUCCGAUGAAUACCAUGGAUUGAGAGUACGAAUGGGUUCGCUCAUUUCUGCUGCUCGAGAAGUGGAGUAAAUCUUAUCAUUUAGAGGAAGGAGAAGUCGUAACA